AGGGUUUGAUUCUGGCUCAGAACGUACGCUGGCGGCACGCCUAACACAUGCAAGUCGAACGAAGUAGCAAUACUUAGUGGCAGACGGGUGAGUAACAUGUAGGUAUCUACCCUUUGGCCUGGAAUAACACGAGGAAACUUGUGCUAAUACCGGAUAAGUCUUUACGGAGAAAGCUUUAUGCACCAUUGGAUGAGCCUGCACUUGAUUAGUUUGUUGGUGGGGUAAUGGCCUACCAAGACUGUGAUCAAUAGCUGAUUUGAGAGGAUGAUCAGCCACAUUGGGACUGAGACACGGCCCAAACUCCUACGGGAGGCAGCAGUGGGGAAUCUUGCACAAUGGAGGAAACUCUGAUGCAGCGAUGCCGCGUGAGUGAAGAAGGCCCUUGGGUUGUAAAGCUCUUUCGUCGGGGAGGAAAAUGACUGUACCCGAAUAAGAAGGUCCGGCUAACUUCGUGCCAGCAGCCGCGGUAAUACGAAGGGACCUAGCGUAGUUCGGAAUUACUGGGCUUAAAGAGUUCGUAGGUGGUUGAAAAAGUUAGUGGUGAAAUCCCAGAGCUUAACUCUGGAACUGCCAUUAAAACUCUUCAGCUAGAGUAUGAUAGAGGAAAGCAGAAUUUCUAGUGUAGAGGUGAAAUUCGUAGAUAUUAGAAAGAAUACCAAUUGCGAAGGCAGCUUUCUGGAUCAUUACUGACACUGAGGAACGAAAGCAUGGGUAGCGAAGAGGAUUAGAUACCCUCGUAGUCCAUGCCGUAAACGAUGUGUGUUAGACGUUGGAAAUUUAUUUUCAGUGUCGCAGCGAAAGCGAUAAACACACCGCCUGGGGAGUACGGCCGCAAGGUUAAAACUCAAAUGAAUUGACGGGGACCCGCACAAGUAGUGGAGCAUGUGGUUUAAUUCGAAGAUACGCGCAGAACCUUACCAACACUUGACAUGUUCGUCGCAACUCUAAGAGAUUAGAGUUUUCGGUUCGGCCGGACGAAACACAGAUGCUGCAUGGCUGUCGUCAGCUCGUGUCGUGAGAUGUUGGGUUAAGUCCCGCAACGAGCGCAACCCUCACUUUUAGUUGCCAUCAUUAAGUUGGGCACUCUGAAAGAACUGCCAGUGAUAAGCUGGAGGAAGGUGGGGAUGACGUCAAGUCCUCAUGGCCCUUACGUGUUGGGCUACACACGUGCUACAAUGGUAUCUACAACAGGAAGCAAGACUGCGAGGUCAAGCAAAUCCUUAAAAGAUACCUCAGUUCGGAUUGCACUCUGCAACUCGAGUGCAUGAAGCUGGAAUUACUAGUAAUCGUGGAUCAGCGUGCCACGGUGAAUGCGUUCCCGGGUCUUGUACACACCGCCCGUCACACCAUGGGAGUUGGUUCUACCUUAAGGCAAGGUUUAAAACCCUUGACCACGGUAUAGUCAGCGACUGGGGUGAAGUCGUAACAAGGUAACC
RNAcentral lists this ribosomal RNA (1436 nucleotides) under uncultured Candidatus Pelagibacter sp. Its description in RNAcentral is "bacterial SSU rRNA". It matches the Rfam family "Bacterial small subunit ribosomal RNA". The record is from RNAcentral. Lineage: Bacteria; Pseudomonadati; Pseudomonadota; Alphaproteobacteria; Candidatus Pelagibacterales; Candidatus Pelagibacteraceae.